AGAUGCCUUCCAUGGUAUCUAUACUGAGGGGGACAGUCCAGAAAACCAGGGAUUUGGAGAGGUAUGCCUGAGGUGCAAUGGAAGCCAAGAAAACACUGCCUGUCCCGGACGGAGAUAGAAGAAUUUUUUUGAAUCCUAUGUUGGCACUGAAUCACUCAACCUCUCUCCACCACUGUGGCAUUAAUUAGAUGUUUUCAGAGAUUUAUACUAUUAUAUUUAAAUAAAACAAUAAACUCCUUGGAGAAGAAAAUAAUUCAAAGUAUGUUUAUAGGAAAUUUCUGGUUUGGGAUCUUCAUCACGCCCUGUACUUUUUUGGCAGAGAAGAGCUGGCAGGAGGGCGUGUCAAGUGUUUUCUGGUGUUUAGAGAUUUUUAUUUAUUCAUGAGAGAAAGAGGCAGAGGCACAGGCAGAGGGAGAAGCAGGCUCCAUGCAGGGAGCCCGACGUGGGACUUGAUCCUGAGUCUCUAGGAUCACGGCCUGGGCCAAAGGCUGCUCUAAGCCGCUGAGCCACCCGGGCUGCCCAUGAACUGUCUUUAAAGUAUGUCACAGUCUUUUUCACAGUGACAGAAGAAGGAUGCAUCAAAAGUUGAUCAACUUUUGAUCUAUACUGUUAAUUCCCUACAUGGCAAUAGUAAAAUUCAAUCCUGCUGACUGGAGUAAUUCCCUUCCAGAGAACUCGGAUAUUCUCAUAAAACAGCUGGCAUUGCCUGAAAGGGAGGUAUUGUUGGUAGGUAAGCCAGCAUCCUAGAGGCUGGGACUCUGCCAGCAUCUCAUAUAACAAACAUGUUGCUGAUCCACUUUUGUUUGUUUUCCCAGACAAAAAUGAUUACAACAUACUUCAGGGCCAACACAGAAACUUUGCCUUUGUAAUGUAUUAACUUGCUCUCAACCUUCAGAUGUUCAAAAUUGCUAAACUAAAUGACAAUAUCCAACCUAAAAAAAAUACUAAAACCUGGCUAAAAACUCAAUUGGCCAA
Molecule: long non-coding RNA, 975 nt
Organism: Canis lupus familiaris (dog)
Lineage: Eukaryota; Metazoa; Chordata; Mammalia; Carnivora; Canidae
Exons: 4
Source: RefSeq, a predicted model, not a curated record